ACAGUACAAACUGAACAGGCCGCGGAUUCAGAAUUGAAUUUGGGAGCCGGGCUGCGCAAUGCGGCAGCAGAUGGAGUUUCAUGCAUCUGUGGGACAGU
Molecule: non-coding RNA, 98 nt
Filed under: uncultured Lawsonibacter sp.
Lineage: Bacteria; Bacillati; Bacillota; Clostridia; Eubacteriales; Oscillospiraceae
Description: NiCo riboswitch
Rfam family: NiCo (Nickel/Cobalt) riboswitch aptamer
Source: RNAcentral